This 804-nucleotide ribosomal RNA is filed under the name uncultured bacterium. Its description in RNAcentral is "bacterial SSU rRNA". It matches the Rfam family "Bacterial small subunit ribosomal RNA", at positions 550 to 1357 of the family's 1533-position model. The record is from RNAcentral.
UUUAUUGGGUUUAAAGGGAGCGUAGGCGGGCUAUUAAGUCAGCUGUGAAAUCCGGCGGCUCAACCGUCGGCCUGCAGUUGAUACUGGUGGUCUUGAGUGCGCGCAGGGGCGUUGGAAUUCAUGGUGUAGCGGUGAAAUGCUCAGAUAUCAUGAAGAACUCCGAUCGCGAAGGCAGAUGCCCGGAGCGCAACUGACGCUGAGGCUCGAAAGUGCGGGUAUCAAACAGGAUUAGAUACCCUGGUAGUCCGCACAGUAAACGAUGGAUACUCGCGGUUCGGCUUUAGAGCGGAGUCGCCAAGCGAAAGCGUUAAGUAUCCCACCUGGGGAGUACGCCGGCAACGGUGAAACUCAAAGGAAUUGACGGGGGCCCGCACAAGCGGAGGAACAUGUGGUUUAAUUCGAUGAUACGCGAGGAACCUUACCCGGGCUUGAACUGCGGCUGCAUAGACCAGAGAUGGUCUUUCCCUUCGGGGCUGCCGCGGAGGUGCUGCAUGGUUGUCGUCAGCUCGUGCCGUGAGGUGUCGGCUUAAGUGCCAUAACGAGCGCAACCCUUCUCCACGCUUGCCAUCGGGUAAUGCCGGGCACACCGUGGACACUGCCAUCGUAAGAUGCGAGGAAGGUGGGGAUGACGUCAAAUCAGCACGGCCCUUACGUCCGGGGCUACACACGUGUUACAAUGGCCGGUACAGAGGGAAGCCACCUGGCGACAGGGCGCGGAUCCCGAAAUCCGGUCUCAGUUCGGACUGGAGUCUGCAACCCGACUCCACGAAGCUGGAUUCGCUAGUAAUCGCGCAUCAGCCAUGG